AAGUCGUAACAAGGUUUCCGUAGGUGAACCUGCGGAAGGAUCAUUAACGUGUUCUCCGACGGCAAAGGCGCGCCCGGUCACCCCGGUGGUCAGGCGCCUUGAGCUGCUCGAACCUUUUCAAACCCACCGUGCACUUUGGUCGGCAGAGGGGCUUUGCGGCCCCGAGCCGUAUCUCACAUACUCUUAACUGCGGAAAGUCUACGGCGAGCCUUUUGUGCCGCCCUAAUCUUUGACAACUUUCAACAACGGAUCUCUUGGCUCUC
RNAcentral lists this unclassified non-coding RNA (263 nucleotides) under air metagenome. Its description in RNAcentral is "partial contains small subunit ribosomal RNA, internal transcribed spacer 1, and 5.8S ribosomal RNA". The stretch from base 1 to 46 matches the Rfam family "Eukaryotic small subunit ribosomal RNA", at positions 1786 to 1831 of the family's 1831-position model. The record is from RNAcentral.